CAUCUGGAGGGCCGAGGUUGAGGAAGCCUGUCAGAUAAUAUAUUCAUAAGGAUAUUGUUGUUGUUUAGACGUUUAGUUGUGUCCGACUCUUCGUGACCCCAUGGACCAGAGCAUGCCAGGCACUCCUGGCUUCCACUGCCUCCCGCAGUUUGGUCAGACUCAUGUUUGUAGCUUUGAGAACACUGUCCAACCAUCUCGUCCUCUGUCGUCGUCCCAUCUCACCAUCUCGUCCUCUGUCGUUAAUUCAUAAGGAUAUAACCAGCCUUUUUCCAAAUUAAAGAAAGAACUUACUUUCUAACCAUGCAGAUGUAGCUUGUCUAGUUUAGGAUCAGCCACGGUUCUUUAUUCUGGUGUAUGGUUCUGGCGGCAGUUGUCUUGUGCUUCUCUUGUAUAUAAAGAAGAUGAAGUUAUUACACUCAGUAAAGGGUGUGCUAGGAGAACAUUUGUCCAGGAUGCAACAUUUGUGCGGAAUAUGGAAAUGUUUACCUAGGAAGCAGGCAGGGGUGUUCCGGGGAGUGGGGGCAGGGAGCAGUCUGCCCCAGGUACCAGUCCAAAGGAGGGGUGACAAAAUGCUGACCUCCGAUCGGCAGCACACCCCAAGGCACACACUGCUUGCCGCGCACCCCCUGGGACUUGUGCCCUGCCCCCUGAGACAAGCGCUGUUCCGGGUACUGGAGCAUGUUGCUUUGCCUCUGGAAGCAGGGAAGCACUCUCAGGAGAUGUGUUAUGUAAGAAAGAAAGAACAGAAGAAUCUGCUGGAUGAGGUCAAAAGCCCAUCUAGACCACCACCCUGUUUUCACAGUGGCCACCAAAUGGCCACUAUGGAAACUGUGAUGGCCUGGGAAUCCGAUUCAGAGGCUGAACCGGAGGAAUCCCAGCCUGCACAGGAGUCCCUGCCUCCAGGGCCGGCUGAACUGGGGCAGGGCCUUGAUUCUGAAGCACCUGCACCUGUGCCGGAUCCUCAGGAGCAGGCACCAGGUGAAUCCACUCUGGCUCCGGAGGUGGUUGAGGACUCAGUGCCUACAGGUGAGUCUCCCCCUGGGUCCAGUAACCCUUCAGCAUCUCCUGAACUGCAGAGGCUCAGGGCAGAGAGGCGGAGGGAACUGGUUUCUCCCAGGAGGAGUGCUCGCCUUAAGGCCAGGAGAGGCGGGUCUCCUGGGGUCCGGGACCGCCCCUGGCCUCAGAGAAGAUAAAGGCCAGUCAGCCCGGUCCCAGGUUGCGGGAGCAACGUCGUUGAAGAGCUGUUUCGGCCAGCACCCAGUCUGGUUCCCCCAGAGUUCCUGUCCUUGCCCAGCUCCUCACUGUGGACCCCACUUCGCCCGUGGAGGACUGUCUGCCGACCCUCGACUCAGGUCCUGGACCUCGCGCCAUGGUAACCUCCCCCCUGGACCAGCACAGAAACCCAUAAACAGAACCCAGGUGCAACAGCAUUCUCCCUGGUUGUGAUUCCCUGACAUGCUGUGUCCAAAGGUUGAGGAAGAACAUAGCCACUGUGGUUAGCAGCCAUUGAUUGUAUUUUUCUUCAUGAAUCAAAGAGACUGGUGAGAGGUGAGAGUUGCUUACAAGAAGAAGGAGGGCAUGAAAUGAAAGUGCUGCUUAGGAGGCACAGAGUAUAUUUUCUUCUCCAGCACUGGUUAAUUGCAAGAGAGUCUUUAUAUAUUAAGAAUAGUUGCUGGUUAUUUUAGAUCAGAGAAUAUUGUUUCCAGUGUAUAGCCAUAGCUGCCUCCUUCUCCUCCACUUUAUCUGAACUUAAGCAAUGCCAAGGAGUUCCAUUUUACUGAGUUGCUUUAUGCACCUUUAGUUCUUUUUCAGUUGUGUGCAUUACCAAAACUAUUUGCACUGGGCUUAAAUACAAAAAUCAAGGCAGUGCCACUGCUUUUCAAUAAUGGAAGCAGUUUUUUACUUCAAUACAUCAUCAGUACUUCACUUUAUGAAUUGUAAUUUCCCACAGAAUAUUGGAGGAUAUUAUUGUGUAGUCUGACAUGGUUUCACUUAACACAUCAGUGAUGAACAAUAGGCCUCUAGUAACUCUAGUUUUGUUUAAUUCUGAAUAGUUGCAGAGGCAAGAUUGAAUAAUGAUCUUAAUCGGUCAAGUUAAAAUGGAAACAUUCUCAGAGGACACACAAUUGUGCUAUUAAAGGAGAGGAUCCAUAAAGAGAUGCUAAAAGGUGUGAGAGAGAUAGUGUGUAUAUGGAGUGCUUGAGAGAGAAGAAACAGAAAAGAAAACUCCAAACUCAGCUGCAAAACAGGAAAGUAAGAUUCAAAAAUAAACGUUUCAGUGCAAUCAGUCACACUUGAUAAUAGCAGCUGAAUAGGAAGAUGAGUAUACUUAAUACCUGAUGACUCAAUACGGGAUGGAAAUCUUUAAUCAUUAAAUGGACUCUGCUGCUUUUGAGUAGUCCCAUUGUGGUCCUCAGGGUAGUUGAACAAAGACAUGAGUAACACAAAACAGAUAGGUCUUUAAAACCUUCAAUGAAUUUCAUGCCAAGAGAAUAGUUUUCUAAUAGAAUACAGGUCUGGUCAUGCACACACUUUCCCUAUGCAACACCAUUUUCAUGUUUCUUUCCAGUUUCCAGAAAAGAUUGCUAUUACCCAAGAUCCAAUGAAAUAAUUUUUUAAUUGAUAUUACUGUGAGUUAAGUGUGCAUAGCUCCUGCAGAAAUAUGCAGCCUGGCAUGCCAGUCCUAACAGCCUUAGGAUGACCACUUUUGCAUCCCCAAAAGAAAGGACAAAAGAGAACACAGAUUUGCAUAACAUGUGUGAAGGCUUAUGUAAAGUGCUAUUUUUCUAGAAAAAGAGGUAGUGGAACUCUCCAUGAAUGCCUCCCUUGUCUUAUAAUGGCAAUUGCAUCCAGCUAAGAGGUGCUGGAACUAGAUAGCACAGUUGGUUUGAGUGUGGUUUCUGAUAACGCCAAGGGAUCGAUCCUCAUAUGGGAUAGUUGCAUAUUUCUGCAUUGCAGGGAGUUGCUCCAAUCAGCUACAUCGGCUAUCAGAGGCCUUUUGAGUGUCAAAUUCUCCUUGCUGUCCUCUUUACUCACAACUGCACCCAUCUUGCUAGCUACCAAACUACUUACUGAUUGCAAAGAUUGUUUGAAGUGACAUGGAUUAAGGAUUAGUUAGAGGCGUCUCAAAUGAUCUCUGAUGUAAAAGGUAAGGUAAAGGUGAAAGACCACUAGAUGGUUAAGUCCAGUCAAAUUCAACUAUGGGGUGUUGAGCUCAUCUCCGCUUUCAGGCUGAGGGAGCCAGCGUUUGUCCGCAGACAAUUUUUCCAGGCCAUGUGGCCAGCAUGACUAAACUCCUUCUGGCACAACAGGACACCUUGACAAGUGCCAGAGCACACAGAAAUGCCAUUUAUCUUCCUGCCACAGUGGUACCUAUUUAUCUACUCAUGCUGAUAUGCUUUCAAACUGCUAGGUUGGCAGGAGCUGGGACAAAGCAAUGGCAGCUCACCCCAUCGCGGGGAUUUGAACUGCCAACCUUCCGAUCGGCAAGCCCAAGUGGCUCAGUGGUUUAGACCACAGCACCACUCUGAUGUAGUAGCUUUCUAAGGCAAAUCUUGACUGCCUUUUCCUCUGCCAGUUAGUUUGCUGUUUUGAAAAGCACAAAGAGGGUCACUGAUUAAUUUCUCGUUCAGCAGAUAAAACUACAGGUUAGAUUUUCCAGUGGGAUCAUUUCUUUGGAACAUUGUUUGGAUAAUGAUAAUGAUGAUGAUGAUGAUGAUGAUGAUGAUGAUGAUGAUUAUUUCUCAGUGAAAGGGCUUAAUGUUCGUUAUCUGGCAACUUUGUUGCAGCUGCAGAAGUAUGUGGGAGCCUUGGUCUCUUCUACAACCCUAGAAGAGCUCAAUGUAUGCAAAGGGGAUCCCCAGAUUUGUUUCUGACUGGAGAAUUCCUGAGCAUUGAAGGAAAGGGGCUGUCCUUGAUUGCACAUCAUGUUUUUUUGCAUGGUGGUGAAUCUCCUGAAAGUUUUUGGAUUGUUCCUUUUAUCUUUUAGCUCUGUAGUUAAUUAAUUGACAAACUGUGCUGAUUAAUCAGUGAUAGCUUUCCAUCCUACCAUCUGCAGCUUCCUUUUUACUGAAAUAUGUAAAUUUAUGUAGCACAACUAAUUAAGACAACAUAAGGUAUGGAACAAUUUUCUGAAUGGAUCUUAUCCAUAUGGAACCAAAAAUAAGUUUUUUUCCCCUAAGGGCUAAAUCAUCUGUUGCUGAUUUCAACGUUACAGAUUCUGACUAGUGAACACUACAAAACUCACUUAUUGCAAUAACUCUGGUAUAUUUUUUUCCACAUGUUGGCUGUCUUGUUUUUUGUCUGCUGCUUUUAUUAUUUAUAUUUCAUGGUUGCUUUGGUAUCUUUAUAUUGCGAUGAUCAGUUGUCGUGUUUUGUUGCUCUUGGGAUUUCUCUUUCUGCCUCUUUCUUCUUCUUUUUGACACUUUCUGGAGCUUGUCAGAUGUUAUCCCAAUAACAGGUGCUGUCAGAUCCCUCAGUCCAGAAUGUGUCUUCCUGUCAGUCAAUUUCAACACUCUCCAAGAGGAUGCUCUCAAAAAGAGGGGAGCCAUCCACCCAACAAUGCUGUGCAAACUCCAUUUCCCCAGAUUGCUUUGGCUUUUCCAGCACCCAAACAGAAUAUUUUGAAGCAGGCCUUCCCUUUGCCCUUCUGAUCUUGACAACACUCUGGAUUAAUCACAGGAACCAAUCACACCAAUCACAGGAACAAAGAACUCAGCCAACCCUGCUUGUCACUUCUAAGACUGGAACAUUUCUUGUUAACAGCCAGAGUAAUAUAUAAUCUGUUGGGGGCAAAAUGCUGUGACCAGCCUUUUAUCAUGCUUUUUUUCCAGAUAGUACACUCUCACUCAGCCCUUAGGCUAGCCUUGGGCCAAACCAAGUUAAAUGGGCUAAGACAGAGAAACCUAGAUGUCAUUAUUGCUUUAUGCAAGCAUUCUGUGAUAUGCAUGCUCGUUGCAGGUUUUGUAUGUAUGCGACCCUGAAAUGUAAACCAAUUUUACACUGGUAGAUCUACUUUGACAAUGAAAAGCAAGCAAGACAAUCAUCAUUACAGUAUUGAUUGUGUGUGUACGUGUGUGUUGGGGGAAGAGCC
This 5092-nucleotide long non-coding RNA is filed under the name Podarcis lilfordi (Lilford's wall lizard). Lineage: Eukaryota; Metazoa; Chordata; Lepidosauria; Squamata; Lacertidae. The record is from RNAcentral.